Molecule: ribosomal RNA, 281 nt
Filed under: Dialister invisus DSM 15470
Lineage: Bacteria; Bacillati; Bacillota; Negativicutes; Veillonellales; Veillonellaceae
Description: partial 16S ribosomal RNA
Rfam family: Bacterial small subunit ribosomal RNA
Source: RNAcentral
UACGUAGGUGGCAAGCGUUGUCCGGAAUUAUUGGGCGUAAAGCGCGCGCAGGCGGCUUCCCAAGUCCCUCUUAAAAGUGCGGGGCUUAACCCCGUGAUGGGAAGGAAACUGGGAAGCUGGAGUAUCGGAGAGGAAAGUGGAAUUCCUAGUGUAGCGGUGAAAUGCGUAGAGAUUAGGAAGAACACCGGUGGCGAAGGCGACUUUCUGGACGAAAACUGACGCUGAGGCGCGAAAGCGUGGGGAGCAAACAGGAUUAGAAACGGUAGUCCGACUGACUGACU